Molecule: ribosomal RNA, 507 nt
Filed under: uncultured bacterium
Lineage: Bacteria
Description: bacterial SSU rRNA
Rfam family: Bacterial small subunit ribosomal RNA
Source: RNAcentral
AUCCUGGCUUAGGAUGAACGCUGGCGGCGUGCCUAACACAUGCAAGUCGAACGAAGCACUGUUGGUUUGAGAUUCGUCAAGAACCGGCUUUGACUUAGUGGCGGACGGGUGAGUAAUGUAUGAGCAACCUGCCUUCAGAGGGGGACAACAGUUGGAAACGACUGCUAAUACCGCAUAAUGUAUCGAGGAGGCAUCUCCAUGAUACCAAAGGAGCAAUCCGCUGAAAGAUGGGCUCAUAUCUGAUUAGUUAGUUGGCAGGGUAACGGCCUACCAAGACUGCGAUCAGUAGCCGGACUGAGAGGUUGAACGGCCACAUUGGGACUGAGAUACGGCCCAGACUCCUACGGGAGGCAGCAGUGGGGAAUAUUGGGCAAUGGGCGAAAGCCUGACCCAAGCAACGCCGCGUGAAGGAAGAAGGUCUUCGGAUUGCAAACUUCUUUUAUGAGGGACGAAGGACGUGACGGUACCUCAUGAAUAAGCCACGGCUAACUACGUGCCAGCAGCCGC